This 1307-nucleotide ribosomal RNA is filed under the name uncultured bacterium. Its description in RNAcentral is "bacterial SSU rRNA". It matches the Rfam family "Bacterial small subunit ribosomal RNA", at positions 104 to 1399 of the family's 1533-position model. The record is from RNAcentral.
GGGUGAGUAACACGUGGGCAACCUGCCCAAAAGGAGGGGGGAUAACACUUGGAAACAGGUGCUAAUACCGCAUAACCAUAGUUACCGCAUGGUAACUAUGUAAAAGGUGGCUAUGCUACCGCUUUUGGAUGGGCCCGCGGCGCAUUAGCUAGUUGGUGGGGUAAAGGCUUACCAAGGCAAUGAUGCGUAGCCGAACUGAGAGGUUGAUCGGCCACAUUGGGACUGAGACACGGCCCAAACUCCUACGGGAGGCAGCAGUAGGGAAUCUUCCACAAUGGGCGAAAGCCUGAUGGAGCAACGCCGCGUGGGUGAAGAAGGUCUUCGGAUCGUAAAACCCUGUUGUUAGAGAAGAAAGUGCGUGAGAGUAACUGUUCACGUUUCGACGGUAUCUAACCAGAAAGCCACGGCUAACUACGUGCCAGCAGCCGCGGUAAUACGUAGGUGGCAAGCGUUAUCCGGAUUUAUUGGGCGUAAAGGGAACGCAGGCGGUCUUUUAAGUCUGAUGUGAAAGCCUUCGGCUUAACCGGAGUAGUGCAUUGGAAACUGGGAGACUUGAGUGCAGAAGAGGAGAGUGGAACUCCAUGUGUAGCGGUGAAAUGCGUAGAUAUAUGGAAGAACACCAGUGGCGAAAGCGGCUCUCUGGUCUGUAACUGACGCUGAGGUUCGAAAGCGUGGGUAGCAAACAGGAUUAGAUACCCUGGUAGUCCACGCCGUAAACGAUGAAUGCUAGUGUUGGGAGGUUUCCGCCCCUUCAGUGCUGCAGCUAACGCAAUAAGCAUUCCGCCUGGGGGAGUACGACCGCAAGGGUAAAAACUCAAAGGAAUUGACGGGGGCCCGCACAAGCAGCGGAGCAUGUGGCUUAAUUCGAAGCAACGCGAAGAACCUUACCAGGGCUUGACAUGACGGUGAAGCGGCGGAGACGCCGUGGCCGAAAGGAGCCGCCACAGGUGGUGCAUGGCUGUCGUCAGCUCGUGUCGUGAGAUGUUGGGUUAAGUUCCGCAACGAGCGCAACCCCCGUCCCGCGUUGCCAGCAUUAGGUUGGGGACUCGCGGGAGACUGCCGGCGUCAAGCCGGAGGAGGGUGGGGACGACGUCAAGUCAUCAUGCCCCUUAUGCCCUGGGCUGCACACGUGCUACAAUGGCCGGUACAGAGGGUUGCCACCCCGCGAGGGGGAGCGGAUCCCGGAAAGCCGGCCCCAGUUCGGAUCGCAGGCUGCAACCCGCCUGCGUGAAGCCGGAGUUGCUAGUAAUCGCGGAUCAGCACGCCGCGGUGAAUACGUUCCCGGGCCUUGCACACACCGCCCGUCA